AAUCAACGCUGGCGGCGUGCCUAACACAUGCAAGUCGAACGCGAAAGCCCGCAAGGGUAAGUAGAGUGGCGCACGGGUGAGUAACACGUGGACAACCUGCCUUCGAGUGGGGAAUAACCUUCCGAAAGGAGGGCUAAUACCGCAUAACACCUCGGGACACAAGUUCUGGGGUUGAAAAGAGCAAUUUGCUCGAAGAGGGGUCCGCGCCUGAUUAGCUAGUUGGUGAGGUAACGGCUCACCAAGGCUUCGAUCAGUAGCCGUCCUGAGAGGGAGCACGGCCACACUGGAACUGAGACACGGUCCAGACUCCUACGGGAGGCAGCAGUGGGGAAUUUUGGCAAUGGGCGAAAGCCUGACCAAGCAACGCCGCGUGGGUGAUGAAGUAUCUUGGUACGUAAAACCCUUUCGGCAGGGACGAACCUAAUGACGGUACCUGCGGAAGAAGCCCCGGCUAACUCCGUGCCAGCAGCCGCCUGUAAC
RNAcentral lists this ribosomal RNA (480 nucleotides) under uncultured bacterium. RNAcentral describes it as "bacterial SSU rRNA". It matches the Rfam family "Bacterial small subunit ribosomal RNA", at positions 32 to 524 of the family's 1533-position model. The record is from RNAcentral.